RNAcentral lists this ribosomal RNA (253 nucleotides) under uncultured bacterium. Its description in RNAcentral is "partial 16S ribosomal RNA". It matches the Rfam family "Bacterial small subunit ribosomal RNA", at positions 524 to 776 of the family's 1533-position model. The record is from RNAcentral.
UACGGAGGAUGCAAGCGUUAUCCGGAAUUAUUGGGCGUAAAGGGUCCGCAGGUGGCAGUGUAAGUCUGCUGUCAAAGAAUGAGGCUUAACCUCAUCAAGGCAGUGGAAACUAGACAGCUAGAGUACGGUCGGGGUAGAAGGAAUUCCUGGUGUAGCGGUGAAAUGCGUAGAGAUCAGGAAGAACACCGGUGGCGAAAGCGUUCUGCUAGGCCUGUACUGACACUGAGGGACGAAAGCGAGGGGAGCGAACGGG